CUACGGGUGGCUGCAGUGGGGAAUAUUGGACAAUGGGCGAAAGCCUGAUCCAGCCAUGCCGCGUGUGUGAAGAAGGCCUUCGGGUUGUAAAGCACUUUCAGUGGGGAAGAAAGCCUUGGGGCUAAUACCCUCGAGGAAGGACAUCACCCACAGAAGAAGCACCGGCUAACUCCGUGCCAGCAGCCGCGGUAAUACGGAGGGUGCGAGCGUUAAUCGGAAUUACUGGGCGUAAAGCGCGCGUAGGCGGUCUGAUAAGCCGGUUGUGAAAGCCCCGGGCUCAACCUGGGAACGGCAUCCGGAACUGUCAGGCUAGAGUGCAGGAGAGGAAGGUAGAAUUCCCGGUGUAGCGGGGAAAUGCGUAGAGAUCGGGAGGAAUACCAGUGGCGAAGGCGGCCUUCUGGACUGACACUGACGCUGAGGUGCGAAAGCGUGGGUAGCAAACAGGAUUAGAUACCCGUGUAGUC
Molecule: ribosomal RNA, 464 nt
Filed under: Vreelandella stevensii
Lineage: Bacteria; Pseudomonadati; Pseudomonadota; Gammaproteobacteria; Oceanospirillales; Halomonadaceae
Description: partial 16S ribosomal RNA
Rfam family: Bacterial small subunit ribosomal RNA
Source: RNAcentral